CCUUGCAGGGCGGCGGCGCAUUCCUUGGAGCUGCCCUGGACUGCAGUACCAGCUCCAGCACGUUGAUUUAUGGAGCUAUUUGGUGUCAGGUAAUUGCCCAUCAGUAUCCUAUUUAUCACCCAGCUUGUCACGGCUUGUGGCUGCUACGCCGCAAAGCCAAGGCCUUGGAGAAAGGACCAGUGACUCAAAGCACAGGAGGAGGACGGUCCAAAAAUGCACCGUGUCCAAGUUCUCUUCCCUUUGCUCAGCUUUCCUUCGAUCAAGGGGAGAAAGUGGGUCGGAUCCCAGACAGUAGCUGCUGAUGGGGGUGCGACUUCCAGACCCAGGAAGACCCCGCCUGUCCCCAGCCCUUCUCCUGAAAUAUCCUUCCCAAGUAAAUGCCUGCUCAGGAUAGGAACAAAAUCUGCAUAUUCAGUAGGCCGUUACUUUAAAAAAAAAUGUUCCCAUGAAUAGACUGGAGAGAAAUAAGUCAAAACACAAAUACCCUCUGGUUGAUGGAAAAAUUCUUCCUUCUUUGCUGUAUUUUCCAUAUUGUCUGUAAUGAGCAUGUAUCUCUUAAAAACACAGCAAGAUGUUUUAUACAUGUUUAGCAAUACUUGAAAUUCCACAAUUAAAGAGGCAGUCGUUUGGCUUCCUGUUUUUUAUGCUUUCAACAUGCCAUUCCUCUUAGAAGGUGUAGUCAUGCGGGGGAGGAGCUCAUCCUUCUAGAAUUAAAGCUUGAGGGCUGGUGGCCCCCCGGGGGCAGCUCAGCUGUGCCCAGGGAGGUGUUGGCGGCAGGUGGCUGGAAGACACCUUGUGUGAUGCCUAAGUCGGAGCUUUUGGGGUGCCCGUCACCAGAAUAGUGUUCAUUGUACCCAAUAGUUUAAUUUGCAGGCCCCCAAUCACAGAAUCGAAGAGGAUAGAGGAAGAAUUUCAGACAGAGAGUACUUGCCAAGAACCACUCCAGC
This is a non-coding RNA of Microcebus murinus (gray mouse lemur), 947 nucleotides long. Lineage: Eukaryota; Metazoa; Chordata; Mammalia; Primates; Cheirogaleidae. The record is from RefSeq and is a predicted model, not a curated record.